CAGAAAUAAGGGACCUCAGUCAGUGCUAAUGUGCAUUUCCAUUUCUGAUCUCCCUGUUUAUAUUUAUACUGUGGUGUUGUGUGCCUUUCUACUGUCAUCCUAACCUGACUAUUACAUCAGGGUGACUUUGAAAGCUUCAAAAAGGAGAACGAAGACAUUCAGAUUACAACUACUCUUGAAAGUCCUUUAUUUAAAUUCUAGCUAGAAAAGAGAGAGAAUAAAUCCAUUGUAUGUAAAAUUUUGUUUGACAUUUCCAAAAGUUAUGACUGAAAUAAAAUCCAUAACAGGACUGUGACAUAAGCUGUCUUCAGGUACGCCCUUCUCAUCUUUAUACUCUCCUAUACAACUACAAUGGACGUGAGGAAACAGCUGCAAGUUGUGCCAGGGGUGGUUUCUGUCAGGUGUCGGGUAGAAUUUCUUCACUGAUCAGCAUUGCAACAGUCUGCUGAGGGAGGUGGCAGAGUUGCCAUAACUGGAGGUACUGAAGAAAAGUGUGGAUAUGGCACUUAGGAAUGUGGUUUAGUAUUAGGUGAUAAUAAUCUUCCAGGGUAAAUCUAUAAUUUUUCAUUUUAUUGAAUAAAUAUAUGCUACAUACAUACAUAUUAUAACAUAACUUAUGAUUAAACGGCAA
Molecule: long non-coding RNA, 631 nt
Organism: Coturnix japonica (Japanese quail)
Lineage: Eukaryota; Metazoa; Chordata; Aves; Galliformes; Phasianidae
Source: RefSeq, a predicted model, not a curated record